UGCCAGCAGCCGCGGUAAUACGAGGGGUGCAAGCGUUAAUCGGAAUUACUGGGCGUAAAGCGUACGCAGGCGGUUUGUUAAGUCGGAUGUGAAAGCCCUGGGCUCAACCUGGGAACUGCAUCCGAUACUGGCACGCUAGAGUGCAGUAGAGGGAGGUGGAAUUUCCGGUGUAGCGGUGAAAUGCGUAGAGACCGGAAGGAACACCAGUGGCGAAGGCGGCCUCCUGGACUGACACUGACACUGAGGUGCGAAAGCGUGGGGAGCAAACAGGAUUAGAUA
This 279-nucleotide ribosomal RNA is filed under the name uncultured bacterium. RNAcentral's name for it is "partial 16S ribosomal RNA". It matches the Rfam family "Bacterial small subunit ribosomal RNA", at positions 506 to 784 of the family's 1533-position model. The record is from RNAcentral.